GCCGGCCUCGCGCGCCAGGGAGGGAUGGUGUCGCUAGUGGCCGGUCCUGGGAGAGGGUCGUCCGGUGCCUUCACCUUUUCCGGUUUCCGGUUUGACCCUAUGGCCUAGGUGCUGCGGGCUGGCAACGCAGUGUGGAACUAGUGGUGGGGUUCAGAUUUCUGCGCUUUUCGAACUACGUAUUGCUCCCAUGGGAGUUGGAUGAGGCGCUGGGACUAGUGUCGAUUCCAGUGGGCGGGGGAGCAGAAGCUCUGCACUGCCUUUAAAGGGUUCGGAACUUUCGGCCCAGCUGCUUAAAUAAGUCGGCGUGAGUCGGUGGAGAGAUAGACUGGCAGUCCGGAGUUCUGAGGAAUUAUGCUUUGCUAUCAGGAAAGAGCUGCCAGAGGGAACAGCUAGUGCAUAAGUCCUAAGCGGGGAGUCAAGGAUGAUUUUUGGCUAGAAGAACUGGAAAGAUGCGGUUCUGAUGACCAAAAUGGGGCUUCCUUCUCGCUGGGCACUCAUUCUUCUUGCAGCCAUGUGAAAAAAAAAAUGUGUUUGCUUCCCCUUCUGCCAUGAGGCCUU
Non-coding RNA from Saimiri boliviensis boliviensis (Bolivian squirrel monkey), 558 nucleotides. Lineage: Eukaryota; Metazoa; Chordata; Mammalia; Primates; Cebidae. The record is from RefSeq and is a predicted model, not a curated record.